RNAcentral lists this ribosomal RNA (140 nucleotides) under uncultured bacterium. RNAcentral's name for it is "partial 16S ribosomal RNA". It matches the Rfam family "Bacterial small subunit ribosomal RNA", at positions 355 to 507 of the family's 1533-position model. The record is from RNAcentral.
UGGGGAAUAUUGGGCAAUGGAGGAAACUCUGACCCAGCGACGCCGCGUGCGGGAUGAAGGCCUUCGGGUUGUAAACCGCUUUCAGUAGGGAAGAAGCGAAAGUGACGGUACCUAAAGAAGAAGCACCGGCUAACUAUGUG